AGUCGAGGGGUAUAGUUCUUCGGAAUUAGAGACCGGCGCACGGGUGCGUAACGCGUAUGCAAUCUACCUUUUACAGAGGGAUAGCCCAGAGAAAUUUGGAUUAAUACCUCAUAGUAUUAUGAAAUGGCAUCAUUUUAUAAUUAAAGUCACAACGGUAAAAGAUGAGCAUGCGUCCCAUUAGCUAGUUGGUAAGGUAACGGCUUACCAAGGCUACGAUGGGUAGGGGUCCUGAGAGGGAGAUCCCCCACACUGGUACUGAGACACGGACCAGACUCCUACGGGAGGCAGCAGUGAGGAAUAUUGGACAAUGGGCGCAAGCCUGAUCCAGCCAUGCCGCGUGCAGGAUGACGGUCCUAUGGAUUGUAAACUGCUUUUAUACGAGAAGAAACACUGCUUCGUGAAGCAGCUUGACGGUAUCGUAAGAAUAAGGAUCGGCUAACUCCGUGCCAGCAGCCGCGGUAAUACGGAGGAUCCAAGCGUUAUCCGGAAUCAUUGGGUUUAAAGGGUCCGUAGGCGGUUUAAUAAGUCAGUGGUGAAAGCCCAUCGCUCAACGGUGGAACGGCCAUUGAUACUGUUAAACUUGAAUUAUUAGGAAGUAACUAGAAUAUGUAGUGUAGCGGUGAAAUGCUUAGAGAUUACAUGGAAUACCAAUUGCGAAGGCAGGUUACUACUAAUGGAUUGACGCUGAUGGACGAAAGCGUGGGUAGCGAACAGGAUUAGAUACCCUGGUAGUCCACGCCGUAAACGAUGGAUACUAGCUGUUGGAAGCAAUUUCAGUGGCUAAGCGAAAGUGAUAAGUAUCCCACCUGGGGAGUACGUUCGCAAGAAUGAAACUCAAAGGAAUUGACGGGG
Molecule: ribosomal RNA, 852 nt
Filed under: Flavobacterium sp. 001xTSA12A_G06
Lineage: Bacteria; Pseudomonadati; Bacteroidota; Flavobacteriia; Flavobacteriales; Flavobacteriaceae
Description: bacterial SSU rRNA
Rfam family: Bacterial small subunit ribosomal RNA
Source: RNAcentral